RNAcentral lists this transfer RNA (68 nucleotides) under Cynoglossus sinicus. RNAcentral's name for it is "tRNA-Arg". It matches the Rfam family "tRNA". From Rfam's summary of the family: Transfer RNA (tRNA) molecules are approximately 80 nucleotides in length. Lineage: Eukaryota; Metazoa; Chordata; Actinopteri; Pleuronectiformes; Cynoglossidae. The record is from RNAcentral.
AAGCAGUUAGUUUAAAAAAACACUUGAUUUCGACUCAAUAGAUUGUAGUUAGACCCUGCAACUGCUUG